Molecule: ribosomal RNA, 425 nt
Filed under: uncultured bacterium
Lineage: Bacteria
Description: partial 16S ribosomal RNA
Rfam family: Bacterial small subunit ribosomal RNA
Source: RNAcentral
GUUAGGAAUAUUGGACAAUGGGCGCAAGCCUGAUCCAGCCAUGCCGCGUGAGUGAUGAAGGCCUUCGGGUUGUAAAGCUCUUUAGUCCACGAAUAUAAUGACUGUAGUGGAAGAAUAAGCCCCGGCUAACUUCGUGCCAGCAGCCGCGGUAAUACGAAGGGGGCGAGCGUUAUUCGGAAUCACUGGGCGUAAAGCGUGCGUAGGCUGUUGUGUAAGUCAGAAGUGAAAGCCCAGGGCUUAACCCUGGAAUUGCUUUUGAAACUACAAGACUCGAAUUCGGGGGAGGAUAGCGGAAUUGUCAGUGUAGCAGUGAAAUGCGUAGAUAUUGACAGGAACACCAGUGGCGCGAGCGGCUAUCUGGACCGAUAUUGACGCUGAGGCACGAAAGCGUGGGGAGCAAACAGGAUUAGAAACCCCUGUAGUCC